This 678-nucleotide ribosomal RNA is filed under the name uncultured Scutellospora. RNAcentral describes it as "SSU rRNA". It matches the Rfam family "Eukaryotic small subunit ribosomal RNA", at positions 339 to 1022 of the family's 1831-position model. The record is from RNAcentral. Lineage: Eukaryota; Fungi; Glomeromycota; Glomeromycetes; Diversisporales; Gigasporaceae.
GCCUACCAUGGUUUUAACGGGUAACGGGGAAUUAGGGUUCGAUUCCGGAGAGGGAGCCUGAGAAACGGCUACCACAUCCAAGGAAGGCAGCAGGCGCGCAAAUUACCCAAUCCCGACACGGGGAGGUAGUGACAAUAAAUAACAAUACAGGGCUCUUACGGGUCUUGUAAUUGGAAUGAGUACAAUUUAAAUCCCUUAACGAGGAACAAUUGGAGGGCAAGUCUGGUGCCAGCAGCCGCGGUAAUUCCAGCUCCAAUAGCGUAUAUUAAAGUUGUUGCAGUUAAAAAGCUCGUAGUUGAAUUUCGGGGUUCUACCGUCGGUCGGGCUAACAAGUCUGUACUGGUGUGUAGAAUUUCUACCUUCUGGGGAACUAUCAUGUUAUUAAUUUAGCGUGGUGGGAAACCAGGACCUUUACCUUGAAAAAAUUAGAGUGUUCAAAGCAGGCUUACGUCUGAAUACAUUAGCAUGGAAUAAUAGAAUAGGACGGUGGUCCUGUUUUGUUGGUUUCUGAAUCACCGUAAUGAUUAAUAGGGAUAGUUGGGGGCAUUAGUAUUCAAUUGUCAGAGGUGAAAUUCUUGGAUUUAUUGAAGACUAACUUCUGCGAAAGCAUUUGCCAAGGAUGUUUUCAUUAAUCAAGAACGAAAGUUAGGGGAUCGAAGACGAUCAGAUACCGUCGUA